RNAcentral lists this ribosomal RNA (468 nucleotides) under uncultured bacterium. RNAcentral's name for it is "partial 16S ribosomal RNA". It matches the Rfam family "Bacterial small subunit ribosomal RNA", at positions 28 to 507 of the family's 1533-position model. The record is from RNAcentral.
GACGAACGCUGGCGGCGUGCUUAACACAUGCAAGUCGAACGGAAAGGCCCUGCUUUUGUGGGGUGCUCGAGUGGCGAACGGGUGAGUAACACGUGAGUAACCUGCCCUUGACUUUGGGAUAACUGCAGGAAACUGGGGCUAAUACCGGUUAUGAGCUCCUGCUGCAUGGUGUGGGUUGGAAAGUUUCGGCGGUUGGGGUUGGACUCGCGGCUUAUCAGCUUGUCGGUGGGGUAGUGGCUUACCAAGGCUCUGACGGGUAGCCGGCCUGAGAGGUUGACCGGCCACAUUGGGACGGAGCUACGGCCCAGAAUCCUACGGGAGGCAGCAGUGGGGAAUAGUGCACAAUGGGCGGAAGCCUGAUGCAGCAACGCCGCGUGCGGGAUGACGGCCUUCGGGUUGUAACCAGCAUUCGCCUGUGACGAAGCGUGAGUGACGGUAAUGGGUAAAGAAGCACCGGCUAACUACGUG